CGAUUGGAUUGCACGUCUAAGCAGUAAGGCUGAGUAUUAGGCAAAUCCGGUACUCGUUAAGGCUGAGCUGUGAUGGGGAGAAGACAUUGUGUCUUCGAGUCGUUGAUUUCACACUGCCGAGAAAAGCCUCUAGAUAGAAAAUAGGUGCCCGUACCGCAAACCGACACAGGUAGUCAAGAUGAGAAUUCUAAGGUGAGCGAGCGAACUCUCGUUAAGGAACUCGGCAAAAUGACCCCGUAACUUCGGGAGAAGGGGUGCUCUUUAGGGUUAACGCCCAGAAGAGCCGCAGUGAAUAGGCCCAAGCGACUGUUUAUCAAAAACACAGGUCUCUGCUAAACCGUAAGGUGAUGUAUAGGGGCUGACGCCUGCCCGGUGCUGGAAGGUUAAGAGGAGUGGUUAGCUUCUGCGAAGCUACGAAUCGAAGCCCCAGUAAACGGCGGCCGUAACUAUAACGGUCCUAAGGUAGCGAAAUUCCUUGUCGGGUAAGUUCCGACCCGCACGAAAGGCGUAACGAUUUGGGCACUGUCUCAACGAGAGACUCGGUGAAAUCAUAGUACCUGUGAAGAUGCAGGUUACCCGCGACAGGACGGAAAGACCCCGUGGAGCUUUACUGUAGCCUGAUAUUGAAAUUCGGCACAGCUUGUACAGGAUAGGUAGGAGCCUUUGAAACGUGAGCGCUAGCUUACGUGGAGGCGCUGGUGGGAUACUACCCUAGCUGUGUU
Molecule: ribosomal RNA, 722 nt
Filed under: Staphylococcus aureus
Lineage: Bacteria; Bacillati; Bacillota; Bacilli; Caryophanales; Staphylococcaceae
Description: partial 23S ribosomal RNA
Rfam family: Bacterial large subunit ribosomal RNA
Source: RNAcentral